GGGUAUAUAGCUCAGUGAUGGGGUGCCUGCCUGGCAUGCAGGAGGCUGGGGAUUCUAUUCCCA
RNAcentral lists this transfer RNA (63 nucleotides) under Neotoma lepida (desert woodrat). It matches the Rfam family "tRNA". Rfam says of the family: Transfer RNA (tRNA) molecules are approximately 80 nucleotides in length. Their secondary structure includes four short double-helical elements and three loops (D, anti-codon, and T loops). The record is from Rfam by way of RNAcentral. Lineage: Eukaryota; Metazoa; Chordata; Mammalia; Rodentia; Cricetidae.